GGUACCAGGCUAUGCUGAGUUCCCAGGAGCCUUCAUCAAGCUGUCCAAGCUCUGCACAGCCCUGGGCGGCAGGGGUGUUGUGAUCUUCAGCCAACAGGACCCAGGCCUACAGGAACUGCCUCUGGGGACUUCCUAUGGAAAGGGAGUGCAGCUUUGAUUCUUCUGCAAAUUUCUGCCAUUUCAGUGAGGCAGUCAGGACUGUGGACUUCUUUGUGGGGCCCAGGGACCAGCCCCUCAGAGAGUCCCUCUCUGCUGGGUAGGCUCAAUCCACCCUGAAAAUCUGGCUGAGGAGUGUCUAGAGCACCUGGUCUGGACACCUGUCCUUUCCUCUGGGGGCCGUGAUGGUUGAUGGCUAUGGCUGGAGCCAGGUCACCAGAGAAGGAGGAGUAGGCUUGGUCCAGACCUCACAAGGACUGUGAUUGGCUUUGGAGGGCACUGUGCUGCUCCCAGUGUGGUGCCAUGCCUUGAAGUCUCAGGAGGUGAGAGGAGGCUGUAUGAUCUUGGGCCAGGAACCUGCAGAGCUGACUUACUACCAAGCAGCCACUUACCUCUUCACUGAGCCAGGGGUCAAUACUACCAUGACCCUCAGUAGCUAGGGGCCACUUCUGGUCUGGGGGUAAGCAGGAGCCCUGAGGCCAGUAAGGCCUGGCUCUGCCCUCCUGCCAGACUGCCCAAGCAUGAGCAUGGCCUUGACUGUCUAUUCUACAGGGACACCUGGUGGGUGCCUGCCUCUGCUGGUGUGGAUCUUGCCCUGCCAGGAAGCUUGACCCUUCU
RNAcentral lists this long non-coding RNA (774 nucleotides) under Marmota monax (woodchuck). The record is from RNAcentral. Lineage: Eukaryota; Metazoa; Chordata; Mammalia; Rodentia; Sciuridae.